This 253-nucleotide ribosomal RNA is filed under the name uncultured bacterium. RNAcentral describes it as "partial 16S ribosomal RNA". It matches the Rfam family "Bacterial small subunit ribosomal RNA", at positions 524 to 776 of the family's 1533-position model. The record is from RNAcentral.
UACGUAGGGUGCAAGCGUUAAUCGGAAUUACUGGGCGUAAAGCGUGCGCAGGCGGUUUCGUAAGUCUGUCGUGAAAUCCCCGGGCUUAACCUGGGAAUGGCGCUUGUUACUGGCAGACUAGAGUGCGUCAGAGGGGGGUGGAAUUCCACGUGUAGCAGUGAAAUGCGUAGAGAUGUGGAGGAACACCGAUGGCGAAGGCAGCCCCCUGGGAUGACACUGACGCUCAUACACGAAAGCGUGGGGAGCAAACAGG